CCUCGGGGUGCACCAGUGGGGAAUAUUGGGCAAUGGGCGCAAGCCUGACCCAGCAACGCCGCGUGAGGGAAGAAGGUUUUCGGAUUGUAAACCUCUGUCCUUGGGGACGAAGAAGUGACGGUACCCAAGGAGGAAGCUCCGGCUAACUACGUGCCAGCAGCCGCGGUAAUACGUAGGGAGCAAGCGUUGUCCGGAAUUACUGGGCGUAAAGGGUGCGUAGGCGGCAUAUUAAGUCAGGUGUGAAAUACUCGGGCUCAACCCGGGGGCUGCAUUUGAAACUGAUAUGCUUGAGUGUGAGAGAGGAAAGUGGAAUUCCUAGUGUAGCGGUGGAAUGCGUAGAUAUUAGGAGGAACACCAGUGGCGAAGGCGACUUUCUGGCUCAUAACUGACGCUGAGGCACGAAAGCGUGGGGAGCAAACAGGAUUAGAUACCCGGGUAGUC
RNAcentral lists this ribosomal RNA (441 nucleotides) under uncultured bacterium. RNAcentral's name for it is "partial 16S ribosomal RNA". It matches the Rfam family "Bacterial small subunit ribosomal RNA", at positions 339 to 795 of the family's 1533-position model. The record is from RNAcentral.